Ribosomal RNA from Cricetulus griseus (Chinese hamster), 135 nucleotides. NCBI's taxonomy places the organism in Eukaryota, Metazoa, Chordata, Mammalia, Rodentia, Cricetidae. The record is from Ensembl.
GUCUAUGGCCAUAACACCCUAAAUGCAUCCAAUCUUGGCUGAUUUCAGAAGCUAAACAGGGUUGGGUCUGGUUAGUACUUGGAUGAGAGACAAUUUUGACCACUCUUUCUCUCAAAUAUCUCAGGCAAUCAGUCC